This 209-nucleotide long non-coding RNA is filed under the name Physcomitrium patens. Its description in RNAcentral is "long non-coding RNA (PPAT_LNC013463)". The record is from RNAcentral. Lineage: Eukaryota; Viridiplantae; Streptophyta; Bryopsida; Funariales; Funariaceae.
UUUUUCCUUUCGUGCGGUUGGAGCUCUGUGUUUUCCUCCCUUGUUUGUAAUUCAGUGCUUGUUUUUUUCAUGCGGGGCUCUUCCACAGCGCCGUGGUUUCUUAUUUUUGUAGGAAGAGGUGCCGUAAAAUGUGGCUGGACUAUUCUUGAUUUUUUAAAUCUUCCUUGACUCUUGUUGCAGUUCCCCUAAUGGAGCUAUUGUUUGUUGCU